GAUGAAGAACGUAGCGAAAUGCGAUACUUGGUGUGAAUUGCAGAAUCCCGUGAACCAUCGAGUCUUUGAACGCAAGUUGCGCCCGAAGCCUCUAGGCCGAGGGCACGCCUGCCUGGGCGUCACACGCCGUUGCCCCCCCAUCUACUCCUUCGGGAUUGCGGGGGGGCGGAUGAUGGCCUCCCGUGCGCCUAGCCGCGCGGUUGGCAUAAAUACCAAGUCCUCGGCGACGCACGCCACGACAAUCGGUGGUUGCGAAACCUCGGUUGCCCGUCGUGUGCGUUCGUCGCGCAUCGAGGGCUCGAAAAAAUGCUCGGCUCCGGCUGGGCUUUCAACGCGACCCCAGGUCAGGCGGGGUUACCCGCUGAAUUUAAGCAUAUCAAUAAGCGGAGGA
This 391-nucleotide unclassified non-coding RNA is filed under the name soil metagenome. RNAcentral's name for it is "partial contains 5.8S ribosomal RNA, internal transcribed spacer 2, and large subunit ribosomal RNA". The stretch from base 1 to 122 matches the Rfam family "5.8S ribosomal RNA", at positions 35 to 154 of the family's 154-position model. The record is from RNAcentral.